UACAGAGGUCCCAAGCGUUACUGAGAUUCACUGGGUUUAAAGGGUGCGUAGGUGGCGCGUUAAGUCAGUUGUGAAAUCCCCGGGCUCAACCCGGGAAUAGCUUCUGAUACUGGCGUGCUUGAGGCCGGUAGAGGUUACUGGAACGGACGGUGGAGCGGUGAAAUGCGUAGAUAUCGUCUGGAACGCCAGUGGUGAAGACGGGUAACUGGACCGGUUCUGACACUGAGGCACGAAAGCGUGGGGAGCGAACGGG
Molecule: ribosomal RNA, 253 nt
Filed under: uncultured prokaryote
Description: partial 16S ribosomal RNA
Rfam family: Bacterial small subunit ribosomal RNA
Source: RNAcentral